This 253-nucleotide ribosomal RNA is filed under the name uncultured bacterium. Its description in RNAcentral is "partial 16S ribosomal RNA". It matches the Rfam family "Bacterial small subunit ribosomal RNA", at positions 524 to 776 of the family's 1533-position model. The record is from RNAcentral.
GACAGAGGGUGCAAACGUUGUUCGGAAUUACUGGGCGUAAAGCGCGUGUAGGCGGCAGGGCGUGUCGGAUGUGAAAUCCCGUGGCUCAACCACGGAAGUGCACCCGAAACUGCCCAGCUUGAGUCUCGGAGAGGAAGGCGGAAUGCUUGGUGUAGAGGUGAAAUUCGUAGAUAUCAAGCGGAACACCGGUGGCGAAGGCGGCCUUCUGGACGAUGACUGACGCUGAGACGCGAAAGCGUGGGGAGCAAACAGG